GGUGUCAUUCUUUCGCGCUGCACACACCUUCCUCCACGUGGUGAAGAUACAUCGCUCCUGACAGCCUCAUGCCUGACUGGACACUGAAAAAGAGGUGAAGAGAUAAGAGGCGAUAGAACAAAAGAACAGAAAGAUAAUGAAGCUGAGACUAAGUAAGUGAAAGCAUAAUUAUGUAUGCAGCCACAAGUGGCGCACAAAGCAAUUACUGCUUGUGGGAAUUUGAGAGAUGCUCUUUGAGGAGGUGUGAGGGAAUCAGUAAUACUUGCAGUGACUUUUGAGGAGGUGGAGUGUGCUGAUGAAGAUGCCACAAAGAACUGAUGGGAAGUUAUUCCUCUCCCCAACUGCUAUUGUAUCCUUCCUGUAGUGCUGUCUCUGCUUUUUGCAUCUUGCCCAGUAUAUUAUGACACAAAUAAAAAUUCUCUUUUCAUCAUCUUGCAA
Molecule: long non-coding RNA, 438 nt
Filed under: Pan troglodytes (chimpanzee)
Lineage: Eukaryota; Metazoa; Chordata; Mammalia; Primates; Hominidae
Description: lincRNA
Source: RNAcentral